Molecule: ribosomal RNA, 437 nt
Filed under: Ascobulla sp. 1 JEV-2014
Lineage: Eukaryota; Metazoa; Mollusca; Gastropoda; Volvatellidae
Description: partial 16S ribosomal RNA
Rfam family: Bacterial large subunit ribosomal RNA
Source: RNAcentral
AGUCUGAAGAUAUUAUUUUAGAUUAAACCUGCCCAGUGCUAAAAUUUAGUAAAUGGCCGCAGUACUCUGACUGUGCUAAGGUAGCGUAAUCAGUUGGCUUUUAAUUGAAGUCGUGUAUGAAUGGAUUAAUGGGGCUAGGCUGUCUCUUUAAGGUUUAAUUGAAGUUAAUUAGAGGGUGAAAAUACCCUUAAAAGGAUAAAGGACGAUAAGACCCUUGGAGUUUUUACUAAAGAGCUAAACUGUAGCUUAAGGUUUUUGCUGGGGCGGCAAAGAGGUAUUCGUAGCCCUCUUUAAUAAUCAGCCGAAAGUUUUAAGUGCAUUUAAACUACCCGAGGGAUAACAGCAUUAUUUUUUAUAGAGUUUGUGACCUCGAUGUUGGACUAGGAAUUUACUAGACUAGCCGUUUAGAUAUAUGGUUCUGUUCGAACCGUUUUUCC